Molecule: ribosomal RNA, 519 nt
Filed under: aff. Phoma sp.
Lineage: Eukaryota; Fungi; Ascomycota; Dothideomycetes; Pleosporales; Didymellaceae
Description: eukaryotic LSU rRNA
Rfam family: 5.8S ribosomal RNA (bases 163-316)
Source: RNAcentral
GGUGACCUGCGGAGGAUCAUUACCUAGAGUUGUAGGCUUUGCCUGCUAUCUCUUACCCAUGUCUUUUGAGUACCUUACGUUUCCUCGGCGGGUCCGCCCGCCGAUUGGACACUUUAAACCAUUUGCAGUUGCAAUCAGCGUCUGAAAAAACUUAAUAGUUACAACUUUCAACAACGGAUCUCUUGGUUCUGGCAUCGAUGAAGAACGCAGCGAAAUGCGAUAAGUAGUGUGAAUUGCAGAAUUCAGUGAAUCAUCGAAUCUUUGAACGCACAUUGCGCCCCUUGGUAUUCCAUGGGGCAUGCCUGUUCGAGCGUCAUUUGUACCUUCAAGCUUUGCUUGGUGUUGGGUGUUUGUCUCGCCUCUGCGUGUAGACUCGCCUCAAAACAAUUGGCAGCCGGCGUAUUGAUUUCGGAGCGCAGUACAUCUCGCGCUUUGCACUCAUAACGACGACGUCCAAAAGUACAUUUUUACACUCUUGACCUCGGAUCAGGUAGGGAUACCCGCUGAACUUAAGCAUAU